GCCGAUCAGGCUGUUGGUGAGGUAAUGGCCCACCAAACCUGUUACCGGUACGGGCUCUGAGAGGAGGAGCCCGGAGAUGGGCACUGAGACAAGGGCCCAGGCCCUAUGGGGCGCAGCAGGCGCGAAACCUCUGCAAUAGGCGAAAGCCUGACAGGGUUACUCUGAGUGGUUUCCGCUAAGGGAACCUUUUGGCACCUCUACAAAUGGUGCAGAAUAAGGGGUGGGCAAGUCUGGUGUCAGCCGCCGCGGUAAUACCAGCACCCCGAGUGGUCGGGACGAUUAUUGGGCCUAAAGCAUCCGUAGCCGGUCCUGCAAGUCUUCCGUUAAAUCCAGCUGCUCAACAGAUGGGCUGCGGGGGAUACUACAGGGCUAGGAGGCGGGAGAGGCAAGCGGUACUUUAUGGGUAGGGGUAAAAUCCGUUGAUCCAUAGAAGACCACCAGUGGCGAAGGCGGCUUGCCAGAACGCGCUCGACGGUGAGGGAUGAAAGCUGGGGGAGCAAACCGGAUUAGAUACCCGGGUAGUCCCAGCUGUAAACGAUGCGGACUCGGUGAUGGGUUGGCUUCGUGCCAACCCAGUGCCGCAGGGAAGCCGUUAAGUCUGCCGCCUGGGGAGUACGGUCGCAAGACUGAAACUUAA
RNAcentral lists this ribosomal RNA (637 nucleotides) under uncultured archaeon. RNAcentral's name for it is "bacterial SSU rRNA". It matches the Rfam family "Archaeal small subunit ribosomal RNA", at positions 220 to 859 of the family's 1478-position model. The record is from RNAcentral.